This 2686-nucleotide ribosomal RNA is filed under the name marine sediment metagenome. Its description in RNAcentral is "bacterial LSU rRNA". It matches the Rfam family "Archaeal large subunit ribosomal RNA", at positions 15 to 2657 of the family's 2987-position model. The record is from RNAcentral.
ACGCCGUCUGGGGAAUGGCUUGGCUUGAGCGCUGAAGAAGGGCGCGGCAAGCGGCGAAACGCCUCGGGUAAGCGCAUGCAGCUGUAGAACCGAGGAUGCCCGAAUGAGACUUCUCACUGCGAGUUCUUCGGAACUCGUGGCGCUUCCACAAGGAAGCGGGAACCCCCCGAACGGAAACAUCUUAGUAGGGGGAGGAAAAGAAACCAAACGAGAUUCCCUAAGUAGCAGCGAGCGAAAAGGGAAAAGUCCAAACCGAAUCCGGUAAGGAAACUUAUCGGAAAUGUAGAGUUGCGGACCCGGCCUCCUCUUCGCCAGCGAAGCCGAAGUGACCUGGAAAGGUCUGCGAUACAGGGUGAAAGCCCCGUAGGCGUAAACUGGAAAGAGCUGGGCUGGAGCUCCCGAGUAUCGUACCUUGGUUUUGGUGCGAGAAACUAGGGGUCAUCAACCUCUAAGACUAAAUACGCCUCAAGACCGAUAGCGCACUAGUACGGUGACGGAAAGUUGAAAAGCACCCCGGAAGGGGGGUGAAAAGAGCCUGAAACCAGACGGUAACAGACGUGUGCAGCCCGGAAGGGCAGACUCCUUCCAAAGGAACCCAUGGCAACAUGGCAGUACGAGGGAGGACGACCAGGGUUGCACGCUCCGUCUAGAAACACGGGCCGGGGAGUUCACGGCUGUGGCAAGCUUAAAGGCUCUAAAAAGCCUGCAAGCAAAGGGAAACCAAAACGCGCGCAGUCAGCUUUAUGCUGAUGAGGCGCUGGGUCUGAAAGGGCCCGAAGUCACGGCUAUGAAACUAGAAACCGGGCGAUCUAGCCCUGGGCAGGUUGAAGCCAGGCGAAAGCCUGGUGGAGGACCGAAAGGGUGCUGACGUGCAAUUCGCUCCGUUGACCUGGGGCUAGGGGCGAAAGACCAAUCUAGCCCGGUGAUAGCUAGUUCCCUCCGAAGUGGGUCGCAGCCCAGCCUCGAGUGAGAUCGCUGAUGGGGUAGAGCACUGAUUGGAAAGUAAGGGGUCGAAAGACCUCGCUUUUCUUUCAAACUCCGAAUCUACCAGCGUCGUAGACCUCGAGAGACGGGCCAUAGGGGGUAAGCUCCUAUGCCGAGAGGGGAACAACCCAGACUGUGGUUAAGGCCCCAAAGUGCUGGCUAAAUGUUAAACUGAAAGGCGUCGUCAGCCUUAGACAGCGGGGAGGUAGGCUUAGAAGCAGCCACCCUUUAAAGAAAGCGUAACAGCUCACCCGUCGAGGCUGACGGCCCUGAAAAUGGACGGGGCUAAGCCAGCCGCCGAAACCUCAGGGCACAACCGCAUAGGUUGUGAUCCGGUAGGAGGGCGUCCCGACUGGGCAGAAGCUGGGCCGUGAGGUCCAGUGGACCGGUUCGGGAUUGAAAAUCCCGGUGGUAGUAACAGCAUAGAGGGGUGAGAAUCCCCUCCGCCGAAAGGGCCAGGGUUCCCCGGCAACGCGUCGUCAGCCGGGGGUAAGUCGGUCCUAAGGCAUGUCUUAACCGACCAUGCCGAAAGGGAAACCGGUUAAAAUUCCGGUACUACAGAGGUACACGCGGCAACGCAAGCCCAACACCCAACGCUUCGGGGUAGACUGAGCAAGGCUGUCGCCUUGUUUAACCGUAUAAGCCUGGAGAGUGCCGCAAUGGCGAGAACUAGGUGAAAGCGGGAAUAGCCGCCCGUUUUAGGGCGGUUCAGCCGAUCUCUGGAGCCAGUGAAAAAGGUGUCGGGAAGGACCCUCUGUGACCGUACCAAGAUCCGACACAGGUGUCCCUAGGCGAGAAACCUAAGGCGUAUCGGGUACACACCAAGCGAGGGAACUCGGCAAUUUAGCCCUGUACCUUCGGUAUAAGGGGUGCCUGCAGUUUUGGCUUCGGCUGGAACCGCAGGUCGCAGUGGCAAGGGGGUCCCGACUGUUUAAUAAAAACACAGGAAGCCGCAAGCCCGAAAGGGUGUGAACGGCUUCUGAAUCCUGGCCAGUACAGGUUCCUCAAACCCGGGUUCAACCGGGCUAAGGGCCUGCAAACGCCGGGAGUAACUCUGACUCUCUCAAGGUAGCCAAAUGCCUUGUCGGGUAAGUUCCGACGUGCAUGAAUGGAGCAACGAGGACCCCGCUGUCCCCGCUUGGUACCCGGUGAACCCACAUGACGUGGACGAACAGUCCACGAACUCCCAGCUGGAAAAGAAGACCCCGUGGAGUUUUACUGCAGCCUGUCGCUGGGAUGUGGCUGCGGAUGCAGAGCGUAGGCGGGAGCCUUCGAUCCCAGUCUCUCCGGGGGCUGGGGGAGGCGCCAAUGGAACACCGCCCUUCUGUAAUCAUGUCUCUUACCGGCGCUUCGGCGCUGGAACAACGAUAGGUGGGCAGUUUGGCUGGGGCGGCACCCCCUUGAAAAAAUAUCGAGGGGGCCCAAAGAUCGGCUCAGACGGGUCAGAAACCCGUCGUAGAAUGCAAAGGCAAAAGCCGGUCUGACUGAAUCCUCCAAAGCAAGGGAUUCAGAGGCGAAAGCCGGGCUUAGCGAACAUCCAUGUCCCUAUUGAUGGGGGCUGGAUAUGACAGAAAAAUUACCCCGGGGGUAACAGGCUCGUCGCGGGCGAGAGUCCCCAUCGACCCCGCGGCUUGGUACCUCGAUGUCGGCUCUUCCUAUCCUGGCCCUGCAUAAGGGGCCAAGGGUGAGGCUGCUCGCCUAU